AACUUUUGGCAAUAGAUCACUUGGCUCUCGCAUCGAUGAAGAACGCAGCGAAAUGCGAUAAGUAAUGUGAAUUGCAGAAUUCAGUGAAUCAUCGAAUCUUUGAACGCACCUUGCGCCCCUUGGUAUUCCGAGGGGCACGCCUGUUUGAGUGUCAUUAAAUUCUCAACCUUGCCAGCUUUCACGAGUUGGUGUAGGCUUGGAUGUGGGGGUUGCCGGCUUCUUCAGAGGUCGGCUCUCCUUAAAUGCAUUAGCGGAACCUUUGUGGACCGUCUCUGGUGUGAUAAUUAUCUACGCCAUUGCCGUGAAGCAGCUUUACAUGGGGUUCAGCUCAUAACCGUCCAUUGACUUGGACAACUCUUGACAUUUUGACCUCAAAUCAGGCGGGACUACCCGCUGAACUUAAGCAUAUCAAUAAGCGGAGGCU
RNAcentral lists this unclassified non-coding RNA (424 nucleotides) under uncultured Tricholomataceae. RNAcentral's name for it is "sequence contains ITS2". The stretch from base 1 to 154 matches the Rfam family "5.8S ribosomal RNA". The record is from RNAcentral. Lineage: Eukaryota; Fungi; Basidiomycota; Agaricomycetes; Agaricales; Tricholomataceae.